AUUGUUGAAGAGCAAUUAAUGGGUUGGGAAGAUUAGACGUUGAGUUCCCUCCGCUUUGCUUCCAAGUUAGAAAAGCUGUAAGUUUUUGUGGACCAUGUAGUAUUUAUUCUUCAUUUUUCUUGCCCAAGCUUGAUGAACUACUAUUCAAAGGAAACAUGGCCAUCCACUAACUGUCAACGAUUUUUUUUUUUUUACUUUUCUUAUUCUUUUAACAAUAUGAUGAAAUUAGCAACUCAUUUUUUUCACAGAUUUUAUAAGUAUAUGUUUAUAAUUAAGGAAAUGCAGCGCACCUACAAUCACACAGAUUAUCAAGUAUCUUUAGUCAAAUUAUUAUUAUGUUCCCAUUCAAAAGUAAGCUAAAACAUUACUAGCUAGUUAAAUAGGGGUGAAGGUAGAAUUUUUUUUUUUUUGGAGUCCAAAUUAAAUUUUAAUUUUUAUGAUAGUAAAAAUAUAAUUUUAUUAUUUAAAUAAUCUAUAUUUUUAUAAUUUUUAAAUAAUUAAAUUAAAUUUUUAUCAUUUUUAAAAAUAUUAAAAUAAAAUUUUAUCUUUAAUAAUUUAAAAUUUUAAAAAAAAUUUAAAAAAAAAACUAAAUGAAAUAUUUUCUAUGUUUGAGUACUACCAACCCCUGGCUACGCUUAAGCUACCUAGUUGUGGAUUUUGAUUUAUUAUCUAAUUCAAGAGAGGUUAAUAUGUCCCCUUGCAUUACUUCUUUGACUUCUUCAAUGAAAACUUUUAUAACUAUUUCCUCAAGAGAUUAAGUUAUUGUUAAAAUUCUUUAUUUUUUACUAUAUUAAAAAAACCUUUUUUAAAAUUUAAUUUAUUAUUUUAAAAUUAAUUUUACAUUUUAAUGGAAAACACAAAUUUUAGAAGCAAAAAUCAUUCUCUUUAUUUCUUCUAUUUGAACUUCAACCAAUACUUUGUAGUAAAGAGUUUUGUAUGUUGAGGGACGAAACUUCUUUUGAGAGUAAAUUUAAAUUAUAAAUUUUUAAAAGGCUCAAAUUAUAACUUUGUCAUUGUGUCGAGCAAUCGUAGGGGAAUGAGUGUCAAGUACAGCACUUAGUUACGAGGAUGUCUCGAAACUUAAAGAGUUUGUGGGGACAAGGUUUGCAUAUGAUGUGGACAAUUUCUUGUGGAGGAUGAGAAACUACUUCUGUACAAAGCCAAAUUUAGCCCGGGGCCCAACAACUCAAAAUUUUAGCCCAAUAACAGACCCAAAAAUAAACCCAACUAGCCUAGCCCAUUACAGCAACCUGCCCAAAAACAAUUCCCAAACUAAACCCACCAACUACCAGCCCAAACCCCAGCCCAAUUACAAUUAACCAGACCCAAACCCAAUUAACCCACUAACCCGAGGCCCAAUUCAACUAAGGCCCAAUUUCCCCAAAAAAAAUCAGGCUAGGGUUUCAGAAAAGAAACCCUAGCGCCGUACCUAGGCACUGCCGCCCCUUGACUUUUGGCCUUCUGACACCGCCACCAUCCCAUCGGCGCCGCCCGCAGUCACGUCACCACCACCACUUGCGCCGUCACCUGCAAGGGAGAAACAAAACAAAGAAACAGAUAGCAAAGAACAAAAGCAGUAGAGAAUCGGCUAUAAAAGCCGAAUAUGUAACCUUCUUUUUUCUUCUUCUGGCUACUUUUGUAUCAAAAAAAAGGAUUCAAUCGAAAAAUAAAAAAACAGAUUCAAGGUUUUUUUUUCUUCUUUUCAGUUUGGAAGAUUUUAUUUUUAUUUUGUUCUCUUUUAUUUUCGUUUACAUUUAUAUAAAUAAAUAUAGUACAAUAAGAAAAAGAGGGUUACCUUUCUUUUAACACCGCGCCGGAGGAGGGGAAGUCGAGUGGUUUCGCUUCCAUUUUUGCGUUUUUUAUUCGUCUUUCGCAAGUUUCGGCCUUAGAUCCACGGCCUAGAAGCUACCGGCUUCGAAAAGGAGCCGAAAAGGCCCUAUUUUGCGCGCCUCCGACCACCGCGCGUGGCGGGGCUUACGGUGGCUCAUAUGGCCGGACCAUGGCCGGACGAAAAAGGGGGGAGAGGUUUUUUUUUCAGUUCUUU
This 2044-nucleotide long non-coding RNA is filed under the name Gossypium barbadense (sea-island cotton). RNAcentral's name for it is "long non-coding RNA (GBAR_LNC019403)". Lineage: Eukaryota; Viridiplantae; Streptophyta; Magnoliopsida; Malvales; Malvaceae. The record is from RNAcentral.